GCUUGCUGUUUUGUUUACCAGCCAACCAGCCCACUUGAAUACCCAAAGGUGCAAACCACUGCUGGAACGUCAGCGCAUGCUGCUCGGCCAGAAUUUCGGUCGGCGCCAUUAGUGCGACUUGGUAGCCCUGUCCAAUCGCCGUUAAGGCGGCAAGGGCAGCAACCAGUGUUUUGCCUGAGCCGACAUCACCUUGCACCAAACGCAUCAUCGGUACGGCUGCGGCCAGGUCUUGCUGGAUCUCGCCAACCACACGUU
RNAcentral lists this non-coding RNA (255 nucleotides) under Pseudidiomarina piscicola. Lineage: Bacteria; Pseudomonadati; Pseudomonadota; Gammaproteobacteria; Alteromonadales; Idiomarinaceae. The record is from RNAcentral.